AACAUCGCCCUUCGUAUAAUUUUAUGAGGGGUUGGACCUGCCCGGUGAUUGGUCAAAUUUUGAAGUUAUUAAAUUAAUUAGAGAUUUUUUUAAACGGCUGCAAUUAGUAGUUGUGCUAAGGUAGCGUAAUCAUUUGCCCCUUAAUUAGGGGAAGGUAUGAAUGGUUUGACGUGGGAAAAGCUGUCUCUUUUAUAUAAAAGGAAGUUUAUUUUUGAGUGAAAAAGCUUAGAUGUUUAUAAAAGACGAGAAGACCCUAUCGAACUUGAAUUAUGUAUUAUAGAUUUAUAAUAUAGAAAGUUUAGUUGGGGAAACUUAAAGUUAAGAAAAACGCUUUUUUGUUGUAAAAUGAUCCUGUAUUAUAGAAAAAUGAAAAAGUUACCGUAGGGAUAACAGCGCUUUCUUCUCUGAGA
RNAcentral lists this ribosomal RNA (410 nucleotides) under Pisidium sp. TS-2022_L3. Its description in RNAcentral is "partial 16S rRNA". It matches the Rfam family "Bacterial large subunit ribosomal RNA", at positions 1812 to 2497 of the family's 2925-position model. Lineage: Eukaryota; Metazoa; Mollusca; Bivalvia; Venerida; Sphaeriidae. The record is from RNAcentral.